CACAGAGCUCUUCCUGUGACAAAAACGACUGCAUUGUCCGAUUGAGACCAGCAUGGUAUUCUCCAACAGACAAUGAAGGAUAUACGACACCUUUCUACGUAUAUUACUGAGAGAUAUAUUCGGUUUUAAACUAUAUAAACCAGCGAGAUAGAGAGAGUACGGCAGCUAAGAAAGCAUGUUCCCGCGAGACUUUGCGUGGGGAGCGGCAACAUCUGCGUACCAAAUAGAAGGUGGAUGGCAAACUGAUGGAAAGGGACCAAGCAUUUGGGACACAUUUUGUCAUGAAAAAGGUCGAGUUUUUGGAAAUCAAAAUGGAGAUGUGGCCUGUAACAGCUAUGAGCUGUGGGAGAAAGACCUGGAAUGCAUCCAACAGCUUGGCCUGACGCACUAUCGCCUGUCUCUGUCUUGGGCACGCCUCCUGCCUGAUGGGACGACGCGAAAUGUCAACCAGAGAGGCGUGCAGUACUACAACAGAGUGAUAGAUGACUUGCUGGCAUGCAAUGUAUCCCCAAUGGUCACUCUGUACCACUUUGACCUGCCCCAAGCAAUUCAAGACCUUGGAGGAUGGAAAUCACCUGGUAUAGCAACUCUCUUCGAUAACUACGCCAAGUUUUGCUUCCAGACGUUUGGGGAUCGGGUCAAACUCUGGAUCACCAUCAAUGAGCCACAAGUUUGUGCCAAACUAGGUCACGAAGUUGGUAUCCAUGCCCCGGGGCUGAAAGAAAAAGGCACCGCUGCUUACCUGGUGGGGCACAACAUGCUGCGAGCUCACGCCAUGGCUUGGCACAGCUACAACUCCACGUACAGGAUAACGCAGAAUGGUGCAGUGUCUUUGGCCCUCAACAGCGACUGGCUUGAGCCUUUAGAGCCAGGUCGUAGUGAGGACAUCACCUCUGCUGAACGUGACCUCAUCUUCACUCUGGGGUGGUUUGCCUGGCCUGUGUUUGUUACCGGAGAUUAUCCAGAAUUGAUGAGAUUUUCCAUAGAAACUCAGUCCAAGAUGAUGGGAUACAGUGAUGACUUGAGGCUCCCCAGGUUUUCAAUCGAUGACCCUCCCAUUUUAGGAACUGCUGACUUCUUUGCACUGAACUAUUACACAUCCCGGAAGGUCAAGUCAGGCGGAUGCAACGAUCAGAUGUUGAGUAUGAAGAGGGACUUGGAUGCAGAAGAGGUUUUAGAUCCAUCCUGGCCCAUUUGUGGGGUGUCAUGGUUGGCUGUUGUUCCAAAUGGCUUAAGGAAACUUCUUAAAUAUAUAAAGGAUGUCUUCAACAACCCGACAAUCUACAUUACGGAGAAUGGUUUCGCUCAGGUCGGCCGGCUGCAAAUUGAGGAUGUUGAACGAUGCAAGUUUUACAAAAGCACCAUUUUGGAAGUGGCUAAAGGUAGUAUUGACAAUUGCUCUGCAGUGAAGAAAACAUUUUUCAAACCAGUGAAAAAAAAAGUGAAUUGGAGGAGUUUAGGUUGUGGUUGUCCAACAUGGAAAUUAUGUUUCAGAGUAAAUCUUGCACAGACUUUUCAAGUAUUCCCCAGUAAGUGCUUACACACUGUAGUAACAGUAUACUUGAACUCAGUUUAGUUUUAGUUUUUGUUGAAAGCUGAAGAUCUUAGCAUACUUCUUUAGCAACACCCAGAAUUCACAUGAUUACAUUUUUUCAAUGUCUUGUGCUGAUUUAUUGAAAUUAGGGCAGCCAAUGGUCAGUAUAUUUGUUUUUUUAUUCGCUUUUGAUCCAUAACUAUAAGAUGUUUAGAUCUAUACAAUCAUAAAAGAACAAAAAAAGUACACCCUUUUAUGCAUCAUUGCUUUGGUCUUCACCUCACCAUAUUUGGAUCUAAUUUCAAGUGUAAACCCCUUUGUCUUUAUUAAGUAAAGACAAAGUACUUCUUAAAAAAAAGAAAUUUGGAACAAAGUUUUAAACACAUUUAGAUUUUUGGGGGGGUGUUUCUUCUUUUUACCUUGACAGUACUUGUUCUUCCCUCUGCAGCAGUUUAUCGAAGGUUUUCUUUAGGUGGAGUUCUACAUUUUCUUUUAAACAGAAUUUCUUGAAUAAGCAAUACAUUUAUGAGGUUGUGGAACAGAAGAAUUAAGCUUGAUGCCAGUAACUGGCCUGUGCCUAGUCCAGGGCUAUAGAAGAGGAUGAGGUCAACGUCCGUGGGUAUUUUGCAUGGUCACUGAUGGACAACUUUGAAUGGGCAGAUGGAUUCAGCGUUCGUUUCGGCCUGUUCCAUGUCGACAUUUCCGAUCCCGAGCUGAGACGAACCAUUUACCAGUCUGGGAGGGAAUAUGCGAAGAUCAUCUCAAAAU
This is an RNA transcript of Xiphophorus hellerii (green swordtail), 2302 nucleotides long. It is a transcript of the gene named glucosidase, beta, acid 3, with no coding region annotated. The transcript has 5 exons. NCBI's taxonomy places the organism in Eukaryota, Metazoa, Chordata, Actinopteri, Cyprinodontiformes, Poeciliidae. The record is from RefSeq and is a predicted model, not a curated record.